This 31-nucleotide non-coding RNA is filed under the name Homo sapiens (human). The record is from RNAcentral. Lineage: Eukaryota; Metazoa; Chordata; Mammalia; Primates; Hominidae.
UGAAGUCUAUGAAUCCUGGGAGAAUCAGGAA